This 275-nucleotide long non-coding RNA is filed under the name Ananas comosus (pineapple). RNAcentral's name for it is "long non-coding RNA (ACOM_LNC002902)". Lineage: Eukaryota; Viridiplantae; Streptophyta; Magnoliopsida; Poales; Bromeliaceae. The record is from RNAcentral.
UGUAGAUUCUCAUAAUGAGAAAGGAGGAUAAUUAAGCUAGAAUAUUAUUAGUAGCACUAAGUCAUUGGGGCUAUUAGGUCUUCUGCCUUUGGAUGAAGAGAUGUGCGGUUAGGAUGAUAGUAGGCUCAUAGGUUUGAGUGGUGAUUGAUUUAGUAUGAUCUAACAGAUGAAAAUGAUCAAAAAAAUAGAUCUAAUUAAUAGCAGAAAACUUAUAAGUACUAAAUAUUUGCUGUUUUUAAAAGUACCAUAUCCAGGCUCUCUCUCUAUAUAUAUAU